GUAUAAGACUUCCCUGGACUGGCAUCAUAAAGCAGGCUCACAGUACUGCAUAUCUAUCUACUUUAAUAUUUGCCAUGAAACAGUCACUAGGUAUGUGAAUACAGGAAUUAGUACCUUUUUAGCUGUUUUCUUCAGCACUGGGAGUCUACUUACUAACAUCUUUGUCUUCUAGUGUAGGUGCAGAAAGAUUUUUUUUUCAGAGAAAGAAUAUACAUACUAGAGUAGAUCAUGGAAAACUAUAUUAAAUUGUUAAAUAUGAUUACUAGGUAUCUUGCAAUGUGUCUGAGAGUUGUUUUUAACGUAAUAUGGUUUCAUAUUCCUCCUGUGUUCCACUAGUAGUUAUAGUAGGCUGCGGUAAGAUUGUAUGUGGAAUGAUUUCUGAAAGCUUCCUGUGUAUUUUGCAAUUUUUCAGUAAAGAUUAAGAAAGAAAACAUAUGAACGUCAGGGUUUCAAGUUCAGUUGUUCUGAAAUCAGGACAAAGACACAUGAAAAUUCAGUGUUCAGACCUCUUUGAUUAGCUUUUGCUGACAUGUCAUGGCCAGGGAUCUCCAUCUAGUAUUCAGGAUUCUGACUGCCAGGGUUACAAAGACCCUUGCUAAUAUAUUCUGGAGCGUGGUGCACUUCAAGUCAUCCACGAUAUUUUUGUGGCUUUUGCUAGACAACAUAGUAAUUGUAGGAAAAGUAA
This is a long non-coding RNA of Neopelma chrysocephalum (saffron-crested tyrant-manakin), 685 nucleotides long. RefSeq lists it as uncharacterized. NCBI's taxonomy places the organism in Eukaryota, Metazoa, Chordata, Aves, Passeriformes, Pipridae. The record is from RefSeq and is a predicted model, not a curated record. The transcript has 3 exons.